Long non-coding RNA from Amblyraja radiata (thorny skate), 203 nucleotides. RefSeq lists it as uncharacterized. Lineage: Eukaryota; Metazoa; Chordata; Chondrichthyes; Rajiformes; Rajidae. The transcript is spliced from 3 exons. The record is from RefSeq and is a predicted model, not a curated record.
GAGAGAGAGAGAGGUUCGAGGAAGGAAACAUGAUGCUGGUGUGGGUUUUGGUGCUGACCGCACUGCUUGCCAGUGAUGUGGCAGAGACGACCGAUUCCUUGGAACGUGAGGUGACUCAGCAUCACCUUGAAAAACGUGACAUAGUCAAAGGACCGUGUGCUGAAAAUUGGUUUUAUUAUCCUACCUUAUGUUCCUGUUACCGG